RNAcentral lists this unclassified non-coding RNA (156 nucleotides) under uncultured Sordariomycetes. RNAcentral's name for it is "sequence contains ITS1". Lineage: Eukaryota; Fungi; Ascomycota; Sordariomycetes. The record is from RNAcentral.
AAGGAGCUUUACACUCCCAAACCCUUUGUUUAAUCUACCUGUUUGUUGCUUCGGCAGGCGGCCCCAGGGCGGGGCUGUAGCCUACUCGUUAGGCGCCUGCCGGAGGUAACUUAAACUCUCAAUUUUUACUGUCUGAGUACAAAAUAAAAUGAAUCA